Molecule: long non-coding RNA, 2070 nt
Organism: Actinia tenebrosa (Australian red waratah sea anemone)
Lineage: Eukaryota; Metazoa; Cnidaria; Anthozoa; Actiniaria; Actiniidae
Source: RefSeq, a predicted model, not a curated record
AUGACUUUAGGGUCUUUUUAGUACUUUUUACAACCCUAAGUGAGGUUGUUGAAUUUUCCAAAACCCUAAAAGGGAUAGGUUUAGGGUAUGACUUUAGGGUGUUUUUUUCACUUGUUUAAACCCUAACUUGGGUUGUUGAGUGUUGACGAUGUGCUAGAAGGGGGAAAGCUGUUUCAUUGCAAGACGUGUGUUAAUCACCGAAAUAUAGACGUUAUCUAUUAUUGGGGAAGCCUGGGAGUGGAUGAACAAACAAUGAAGGGUGAGAUGAAACAAAGAACGCAGCUCACAUGUAGAACAAUACGCAUUGUUCACCAUAAUUCAUGCUUUUUUUGUUUUCCUUAUUUAAUCCAAUCCCAAGCCUCGUUCUACCAUUGGACACCGACCCAGUUCGUAAUAAAGCGUACGUAUACUCUGGACAUGACCUCUUUUCAGUUGGAUUGCAAGCCGUUGACGUUAUCAAGAACAGGGGAAAGCGGUUAGGGUUAGUGCUUUUAUUGAUUUUUUCAUAGUUUAUCAUAAAGCCUGUACUCUAAACCACAUCUCAUAGCAGUUGGAAUGAAGGUUUUCGAGUAUUCAAUGCUAGAUAUAGACUAUAUCUAUAACAGGGGAAUGAGGUAAGCCUUUACUUUUAUCUAGUUAUUUUAAGUUCAUGGCAUUUUUAUUGAGUUAUUCAUAGGUUAUCAUAAAACCGUGUGCUCUAAUCAACUACUACGUAGAAGUUUGAGCGACCGUCGUUGAAUAAUAAAUGAAUUAGAGGCGUUAUUCAAAACAGGGGAAAGCGGUAGGGUGAUACUGUUAUUGAUUUAUAAAGGCUUUGUGAUAAAGCCUGUACUCUGGACACUACUACGUAUAAGUUUGAACGACGGUCGUUGAAUAAUAAAUGAAUUAGAGACGUUAUUCAAAACAGGGGAAAGCGGUAACGUGAAACUUUUAUUGCUUUAUUCAUAGCUCAUCAUACAGCUUGUGCUCUGGACACUUCUACGUAGCAGUAUGAUCGACAGUCGUGUGAAAAAUAAAUGUAUUACGGACGUUAUUCAAAACUGGGGAAAGCGAUAGUACUCUACACACUGAAUGAUGACAGAAAACUAAUGAAAGACUUUGUUUGGUAUUGAUGAAGUGCUAUGCUGGUAGUCCCAAAUAGAUAGCAUUGGGCAUAUUGCAUUCCUAUUGUAUUUUAUUUCAUAUUAUAUGUUUGUCAUUUAUAGCUGUUUUUAUCAUUAAUAGCAUAAGCCUACCCAAACCCUCACCCUAACCCUAACCCUUGAUGUAGGGAUGAAAUAAAUUUCAUUGGCAUUCAUUCACAUUGUAUAUUGUGUUAUUGACAUUGAUAAGGCAUAAGCGUACCCAAACUCUCACCCUAACCCUAACCCUUGCUGUAUUAUUGAUGAAAAAAAUCAUUGACAUUCAUUCACAUGGUAUAUUGUGUUAUUGAGAUUGAUAUAGCAUAACCUAUAACCUAUAACCACUAUUGUUGUAUAUACAUGUUGUAUUUUAUUUUAGAUUCACAUUGAUCUCAUAUCUCAUAUAGAUAGUACUCUACACACUGGAUCAUGACUGAAUAGCAAUGGAAGACAUUGUUUAUUAUUAUUAUCAUUAUUAUUAUUAUUAUGAAUAUUAUUAUUAUUAUUAUUAUGAAUAUUGUUGUUGUUGUUGUUGUUAUUGUUAUACAAUCAAAUAAGUUGGAGAUGCCAAAUCCAAUCCCUCACCCUCACGCUAACCCCUGUUGUAUGGAAURGUCGUUCAGUCACAUGGUAUUGUAUUGGAUCUUAUAUUGACAUUGAUGUAAUAUAGCAUAAGCCAACCCUAAUCCUCACCCUCACCCUAACCGGUUGUUGUAGGAAUGAAAAAAAGAUCAUUUGCAUUCCUUCACAUGGUAUUUUUAUCUUACAUCUCAUAGAUAGUACUGUAGACACUGAAUGAUGACAGAAAACUAAUGGAAGAAUUUGUUUAUUAUUAUUAUUUUUAUUAAUAUUACUAUUAUGACCUCAAAUUAGUUUGAGAUGCUAAAUGCAAUCCCUCAUCCCUGUUGUAUGCAUGGGAUAGUCCCCAAUAAAUAUCAUUCACAUUCAC